UUCCAUAUAGUGUAGUGGUUUAGCAUUCCAGAUUUUCAUCCUCUGUUGAACAUUCUGGCGACCCGGGUUCGAACCCCGGUAUGGAAG
Parachaetomium inaequale is the source of this 87-nucleotide non-coding RNA. The record is from the annotation of a GenBank genome assembly. NCBI's taxonomy places the organism in Eukaryota, Fungi, Ascomycota, Sordariomycetes, Sordariales, Chaetomiaceae.